GAUGAACGCUGGCGGCGUGCCUAAUACAUGCCAGUCGAGCGAACGGACGAGAAGCUUGCUUCUCUGAUGUUAGCGGCGGACGGGUGAGUAACACGUGGAUAACCUACCUAUAAGACUGGGAUAACUUCGGGAAACCGGAGCUAAUACCGGAUGAUAUUUUGAACCGCAUGGUUCAAAAGUGAAAGACGGUCUUGCUGUCACUUAUAGAUGGAUCCGCGCUGCAUUAGCUAGUUGGUAAGGUAACGGCUUACCAAGGAAACGAUGCAUAGCCGACCUGAGAGGGUGAUCGGCCACACUGGAACUGAGACACGGUCCAGACUCCUACGGGAGGCAGCAGUAGGGAAUCUUCCGCAAUGGGCGAAAGCCUGACGGAGCAACGCCGCGUGAGUGAUGAAGGUCUUCGGAUCGUAAAACUCUGUUAUUAGGGAAGAACAUAUGUGUAAGUAACUGUGCACAUCUUGACGGUACCUAAUCAGAAAGCCACGGCUAACUACGUG
Molecule: ribosomal RNA, 497 nt
Filed under: uncultured bacterium
Lineage: Bacteria
Description: partial 16S ribosomal RNA
Rfam family: Bacterial small subunit ribosomal RNA
Source: RNAcentral